Molecule: long non-coding RNA, 209 nt
Filed under: Capsicum annuum
Lineage: Eukaryota; Viridiplantae; Streptophyta; Magnoliopsida; Solanales; Solanaceae
Description: long non-coding RNA (CANN_LNC013382)
Source: RNAcentral
AUUUUUCAAAAAAGAAAAAAGAUCCCCUUCCUUCUCCUUUCUUCUUCCCGUCGACGUCGUCCCGCAACAACGGAAUUCAACCUCGUCGACACCGUCCCCCAACAACGAAGCUCAACCGUUUAACAAAUUCAUUUAGACUAUGAUGUCGUAAUAGAGUAAUGGUAAAAUUGGAGAAGCCUUAAUGAUUUUCGACCGAAUGAAAAUUCAAG